RNAcentral lists this ribosomal RNA (253 nucleotides) under uncultured bacterium. RNAcentral describes it as "partial 16S ribosomal RNA". It matches the Rfam family "Bacterial small subunit ribosomal RNA", at positions 524 to 776 of the family's 1533-position model. The record is from RNAcentral.
UACAGAGGUCUCAAGCGUUGUUCGGAUUCAUUGGGCGUAAAGGGUGCGUAGGUGGCAGGGUAAGUCGGAUGUGAAAUCCCGGGGCUCAACCUCGGAACUGCAUUCGAUACUGCUUUGCUUGAGUACUGGAGAGGAGAUUGGAAUUUACGGUGUAGCAGUGAAAUGCGUAGAUAUCGUAAGGAAGACCAGUGGCGAAGGCGGAUCUCUGGACAGUUCCUGACGCUGAGGCACGAAGGUCAGGGGAGCAAACGGG